CGCAUCUGUGCAUGCAGCAUAUCAAUAAGCGGAGGAAAAGAAACUAACAAGGAUUCCCCUAGUAACGGCGAGUGAAGCGGGAAGAGCUCAAAUUUGAAAUCUUGAAAGGUCACCUUUCACGAAUUGUAGUUUAAAGAAGUGUUUUCUGUUACGAUCGUAAUAUAAGUUCUUUGGAAUAGGACAUCACAGAGGGUGAGAAUCCCGUCUAUGAUUGCGAUUUGUAGCUUUGCGAUACACUUUCAAAGAGUCGGGUUGUUUGGGAAUGCAGCCCAAAACGGGAGGUAAAUUUCUUCUAAGGCUAAAUAUUGGCGAGAGACCGAUAGCGAACAAGUACCGUGAGGGAAAGAUGAAAAGAACUUUGAAAAGAGAGUUAAACAGUACGUGAAAUUGUCAAAAGGGAAGCGUUUGACACCAGUGUUGUUUUCUCGAAAAUCAAUUAAAAAUGGCUCGAUUUUGUAUUGCUGAGACCUUAAAAGCUCACUGUACAUUUUUCGUGUCUUUUUUAAUGCACUUUUCGUUUAACAAGUCAACAUCAGUUUCUUUUGUUGUAAAAGGGUCAUUGGAAGGUGGCUUUCUUUUCGGAGAAAGUGUUUAUAGCCUUUGGCCUCUGCAAUCGAAGAGACUGAGGUCUGCAGCGUAGACUCUUCGGGGUUAGAUACAUUUGUGCUAAGUUAUAGCAUUUUAUAGACAACUUGUUGACUAUGAUUAGUCUUGUAGCUUACUCGCUUAUGCUAUUUUACCUACGCUUAGGAUGUUGACGAUCAGCUGAGCGCG
Molecule: ribosomal RNA, 774 nt
Filed under: uncultured Neocallimastigales
Lineage: Eukaryota; Fungi; Neocallimastigomycota; Neocallimastigomycetes; Neocallimastigales
Description: partial large subunit ribosomal RNA
Rfam family: Eukaryotic large subunit ribosomal RNA
Source: RNAcentral